AAGAACAUUGACAAUGACAAUUUUUUUCAAUGGUCAGGCAUUUCGUUUGCUUUCGUUGUCAAACAACAUUGUCUGGUGAUUGUCAAACAAUGUCUUCUGUUUGGAAUAAGUGUGUUUUCUUCUAAUUAUUGUUGGUGUUGUGUUUUAUGAUACAUAUAACUUUGGUGUAUAAGCUAACUUAUAUUCUUCCAAGUACUGGUAAUUAUGCAAUUUUUUUAACUAUGUUUUUUUAAACUUUCACCGGUGAUUUAACCUUUGUUAAUCAAUAUUGUAUUUUGGUGUCAUAUUGUUCUGUGAAAGUUGUGUUCUAACAAUGGGCUGAAACUAUAAUAUUUCGGUGUUGUAUCAAUGUUUGAUGUAAAUAAUGACAACGCAUUGCAAAGACAAAUAAAAACAUGUUUGAUGAUAAUUAUCCAUUCGAUUAUUACAUGCUUUAGUGAGUUUCUUGCCAAAUGAACCUCACUUUCUCUCUAGCAAAUCAACUCUGUUUCGAUUAAAAAAAAAUUUAAAUGAAAAAGGCUUGGGUUUUAUAUUCUGAUUCACUGUUGUGGAGCCAAAAAUAUUCACUAGGCGACACGUGGAUUUUUGGACAAAAUAGGACAAAAAUACCCUCGAGGCAUACCGGGUCUCCUACACGCGAGCAAUGGAGAAUCAUCCAUCAACCAAGUCAGGAGUACCCAAAAUGGUAACAAUUCAAAACCUAUUUCAUAUAUGUUUUUACCUCAUUUUUUCCUUAUUCAAUUAGCCAUUUAUUUCAAACAUUCCAUAACAUCCUCAACCAAUUAAUAUAAUCAAUAUAUUAAAGGCUAUUUACAUCACCAAAUCACCCCAAAAUCACACCAAGGUCCGGCCAUUCCCAUCCAAAAAAGGCCUAUCAUAUUCUCUACCUUUUCCACCAUUUUCCCUUUUUUAAUUACCCUAAUUAACUAGCCAAUUAAUUCCAAAAACCACCAAAACAUUCAUUUUAUGUUUAAAUAGCCAAAUAAAUUGGCUAAUUAAACCUAAAUUAAACCUAAAAACCCUAGCCACCUCCUAACUCUAUAAAUAGGCACCUAUUCUCAUCAAAAAAUCAAUUCCAACACUUUGGCAAAAAUCCCAAAAUUCUCUAAACACUCUUUCUCUCUAAAUUCUAACUUUGGCAUCGGAGGUUCUUCGGCCAAAGCCCCACCCAUUCAUCGUGGGCGCGUGAGGCUCUUGGCCUUAACCUAAGGUGUUAAUUGUUUUGUAGGUGCAAAAUCGUCCAAGAUCGAGGAGGAAGAAAUUUGCAUCCACAAAUUAGUGCUUUCAUUGAGAGUUGAAAUCCAUACUCGUAGAAGACUCUCGCACAAAAAGGUUUUUUAUUUAUUUUUUAGUCCAUUUGAAUAUUUUUCAUACGUUCUUAUUAUUAGAAUUUUUUACUUGCAAAGGUUCUUUAAUAAAACGUAUAAGCAAAAUAUAAUGGCUAGAAAUUUAGAAAAUUCCACAAAUGAAAAUUCUAAUAUACAAGAAAUGGGAUUGCGGAGAUCCAUGAGGCAAAAUGCGACAAUAAGGGGAGCGGCAUCACCACCACGAGUUUCCACCAUGGGAACCACCGCGGUGGCUACCUCGGUAGCCACCCACGGCGAGGUCCAUGGUGUCUUCACCACGGUCACCAUGGGAACCACCGCAGUGGCUACUUCGGUAGCCAUUCGUGGUGAGGUCCAUGAAGCUUUCACCACGGCCCGAGCCGUGCCAUCCAAGGCUCACGGUACCAAGACCACGACCCAAGCCGUGCCAUCCAAGUUUACGUGGACCCAAGCCCAAGCCUCGCAUUCACAUGCACCGCGCAUUGAGCAGCCUGCUUUCGUUGAACAGCCCACUCCCGUGGCCCAGCCUGCUCUCGUGACCCAGCCUGCUCCCGACGAGCAGCCCACUCCCGUUGUCCAGCCUGCUCCCGACGAGCAGCCCACUCUCGUGGUCCAACCUGCUUCCGUCGAGCAGCCCAAUCCCAUGGCCCAGCUUGCUCCCGCCAAGCAACUUGCUCUCGCGGCCCAGCCUGCUCCUGCCAAGCAGCUUGCUCUCGUGACCCAGCCUGUUCCCGACGAGCAGCCCACUCCCGUGGUCCAGCCUGCUUCNGUACUGGUAAUUAUGCAAUUUUUAAACUAGUUUUUUUUAAACUUUCACCGGGAUUUAACCUUUGUUAAUCAAUAUUGUUAUUUUGGUGUCAUUUUGUUCUGUGAAAGUUGUGUCUAACAAUGGGCUGAAACUAUAAUAUUUCGUGUAUCAAUGUUGAUGUAAAAAUGACAACGCAUUGCAAAGACAAAUAUAAAACAUGUUUGAUGAUAAUUAUCCAUUCGAUUAUUACAUGCUUUAGUGAGUUUCUUGCCAAAUGAACCUCACUUUCUCUC
RNAcentral lists this long non-coding RNA (2366 nucleotides) under Malus domestica (apple). RNAcentral's name for it is "long non-coding RNA (MDOM_LNC002192)". The record is from RNAcentral. Lineage: Eukaryota; Viridiplantae; Streptophyta; Magnoliopsida; Rosales; Rosaceae.